UAAGUAGGGUGCGAGCGUUGUCCGGAAUUAUUGGGCGUAAAGAGCUUGUAGGCGGUUUGUCGCGUCUGCCGUGAAAUUUCGGGGCUCAACCCCGAACUUGCGGUGGGUACGGGCAGACUAGAGUGUGGUAGGGGAGACUGGAAUUCCUGGUGUAGCGGUGAAAUGAGCAGAUAUCAGGAGGAACACCGGUGGCGAAGGCGGCUUUCUGGACGACAACUGACGCUGAGACGCGAAAGCGUGGGGAGCAAACAGG
Molecule: ribosomal RNA, 253 nt
Filed under: uncultured bacterium
Lineage: Bacteria
Description: partial 16S ribosomal RNA
Rfam family: Bacterial small subunit ribosomal RNA
Source: RNAcentral